RNAcentral lists this ribosomal RNA (253 nucleotides) under Nitrolancea sp. RNAcentral's name for it is "partial 16S ribosomal RNA". It matches the Rfam family "Bacterial small subunit ribosomal RNA", at positions 524 to 776 of the family's 1533-position model. The record is from RNAcentral. Lineage: Bacteria; Pseudomonadati; Thermomicrobiota; Thermomicrobia; Sphaerobacterales; Sphaerobacteraceae. RNAcentral also lists the same sequence under 1 other name.
UACGUAGGGGUCGAGCGUUGUCCGGAGUUACUGGGCGUAAAGCGCGCGCAGGUGGCUCAUUACGCCCGGCGUGAAAGCCCCCGGCCUAACCGGGGAAAGUCGUCGGGUACGGGUGAGCUUGAGGGUAUCAGGGGCUGGUGGAAUUCCCGGUGUAGUGGUGAAAUGCGUAGAGAUCGGGAGGAACACCCGUGGCGAAGGCGGCCAGCUGGGAUACACCUGACACUGAGGCGCGAAGGCGUGGGGAGCGAACGGG